CCUACGGGUGGCAGCAGUAGGGAAUCUUCCACAAUGGGCGAAAGCCUGAUGGAGCAACGCCGCGUGGGUGAAGAAGGUCUUCGGAUCGUAAAACACUGUUGUUAGAGAAGAAAGUGCGUGAGAGUAACUGUUCACGCUUCGACGGUAUCUAACCAGAAAGCACCGGCUAACUACGUGCCAGCAGCCGCGGUAAUACGUAGGUGGCAAGCGUUAUCCGGAUUUAUUGGGCGUAAAGGGAACGCAGGCGGUCUUUUAAGUCUGAUGUGAAAGCCUUCGGCUUAACCGGAGUAGUGCAUUGGAAACUGGGAGACUUGAGUGCAGAAGAGGAGAGUGGAACUCCAGGUGUAGCGGUGAAAUGCAUAGAGAUAUGGAAGAACACCAGUGGCGAAGGCGGCUCUCUGGUCUGUAACUGACGCUGAGGUUCGAAAGCGUGGGUAGCAAACAGGAUUAGAUACCCGGGUAGUC
Molecule: ribosomal RNA, 465 nt
Filed under: uncultured bacterium
Lineage: Bacteria
Description: partial 16S ribosomal RNA
Rfam family: Bacterial small subunit ribosomal RNA
Source: RNAcentral